CCUACGGGAGGCAGCAGUGGGGGAUAUUGCACAAUGGGGGAAACCCUGAUGCAGCGACGCCGCGUGUGGGAAGACGGUCCUCUGGAUUGUAAACCACUGUCCCCAGGGACGAAGAUGACGGUACCUUGGGAGGAAGCUUCGGCUAACUACGUGCCAGCAGCCGCGGUAAUACGUAGGGAGCAAGCGUUGUCGGGAGUUACUGGGGGUAAAGGGAGCGUAGGCGGGAUGGCAAGUUGGGUGUUAAAUCUACCGGCUCAACUGGUAGUCGCACUCAAAACUGCUAGUCUUGAGUGAAGUAGAGGCAGGCAGAAUUCCUGGUGUAGCGGUGAAAUGCGUAGAUAUUAGGAGGAACACCAGUGGCGAAGGCGGCCUGCUGGGCUUUUACUGACGCUGAGGCGCGAAAGUGUGGGGAGCAAACAGGAUUAGAUACCCGAGUAGUC
This 440-nucleotide ribosomal RNA is filed under the name uncultured bacterium. RNAcentral's name for it is "partial 16S ribosomal RNA". It matches the Rfam family "Bacterial small subunit ribosomal RNA", at positions 338 to 795 of the family's 1533-position model. The record is from RNAcentral.